This is a long non-coding RNA of Microplitis mediator, 342 nucleotides long. RefSeq lists it as uncharacterized. The transcript has 3 exons. NCBI's taxonomy places the organism in Eukaryota, Metazoa, Arthropoda, Insecta, Hymenoptera, Braconidae. The record is from RefSeq and is a predicted model, not a curated record.
AUCCGCAGAUCGAUGACACAAAAGCUUACAGAACUUCGAGAACAACGAUCGCUCAAGAUAUAAAAUCAAAAAAAUGUCGAAAAUAAUUUUAUUAUUAUCAAUUUUCGUAUUGAUUGGUGUUUAUGCUGGUGCAGAUGCAGCAUGCCCGGGCGGUUGGUGUCAUUCCGCACAAGGUUAUGGCUGUUGUGAAGGAAAUAUAUGUAGUGAUGCUGUGUUUCAAGGUACGUGCAUAACUCAUGAGGAAUACUUAAUGCAAAGCAUGCAAGGAAAAUAAUUAUACCAAUACAGUGAAAAUUUAAAGAUGUAUUCUUCCAAUUAAUAAAACUUUCAUUACAAAAAAAA